RNAcentral lists this unclassified non-coding RNA (301 nucleotides) under Hevea brasiliensis (rubber tree). Lineage: Eukaryota; Viridiplantae; Streptophyta; Magnoliopsida; Malpighiales; Euphorbiaceae. The record is from RNAcentral.
UGCUCGCUCCAUUACAAGUAAUAUGCACUCAGAGUCAGUGUGGAAAUAUUUUUUGAACUCUAGGUUAAUGCAUGUUUAUCAGCUCCUUUGUCUAUUUAUUUACUAAUACUUGAUGCAUACUGUGCAGCCAUAUCACAACACAAACUUUUUCUAGAAAGAGAUCUGAAAUUAGCACUUUCCAGAAAUUAUCAAUUUCUUAAUGAACAUUUCUUCAAAUUUCUCAUUUUAUAUCUUUGGCUCUGUGGCACCUUUGUUUAAUGUAAAAAGGAUCACAAAGUUAUAAUCACAGCAUCCACAAUUA